GUCACUGUCCCCCGUACUAACAUUUCUUUAAACGGUGUUGUGCGUGAGACAGCGACCG
This 58-nucleotide microRNA precursor is filed under the name Octopus bimaculoides (California two-spot octopus). RNAcentral describes it as "Obi-Mir-210-P16_pre stem-loop". The record is from RNAcentral. Lineage: Eukaryota; Metazoa; Mollusca; Cephalopoda; Octopoda; Octopodidae.